RNAcentral lists this transfer RNA (73 nucleotides) under Thraustochytrium aureum. Its description in RNAcentral is "tRNA-Gln". It matches the Rfam family "tRNA". Rfam says of the family: Transfer RNA (tRNA) molecules are approximately 80 nucleotides in length. Their secondary structure includes four short double-helical elements and three loops (D, anti-codon, and T loops). The record is from RNAcentral. Lineage: Eukaryota; Bigyra; Thraustochytrida; Thraustochytriidae.
UAAGGUGUAGCUUAAUUGGUAAAGCAUUAGUUUUUGGUACUAAAGAAUAUAGGUUCAAUCCCUAUCACCUUAA